This is a non-coding RNA of Caenorhabditis elegans, 209 nucleotides long. NCBI's taxonomy places the organism in Eukaryota, Metazoa, Nematoda, Chromadorea, Rhabditida, Rhabditidae. The record is from Ensembl.
UUCAAAUUCCCUCCCGCGUUUUUUUUUCGCCGCUGCUUUCCCCCGGCUUUUUCCCCGUUUUAUGUAUGCAACAAAUGUUGCAUCGGCAAACGGAUGGAGUGGAAUCUCUGCCCGAGUGGGUGCUACCAGUCGUCACAGAAAAAACAUUGAGAAGGGGACCAAAUGGGGGAAAAAAGAAGAAGAAGCGUUCCAAAUGGGUGGACGGGCGU